CCUGACCAUCAGCCAAAAGACAGAGAGGGGCUGCUUUCGCUCUCCCGUCAUCGUCCCAUCCGCCGGCCACAGGGCACUCUUCUACCCCGCCGCCGGCUAGCCGCUUCCGCCUCAGACUCUUCUUGUUAUUCAAGUCUCCAAGAUCCGACUGAGCUCUCCUCAAUCGGCAGGGGAAGAGCAAGGCCGGCAGCCAUGGAGCUGGUGGUGGGAGCUUCGGAGGCGACGAUGAAGUCGGUCAUGGGCAAGCUGGGCGGCCUCCUCGCCCAGGAGUACACCCUGAUUCGGGGCGUCAACGGCGACCUCCAGUACAUCAACGACGAGCUGGCCAGCAUGCAGUCCUUCCUCCGGGACCUCACCGCCGGCGGCGCCGGCCGAGCCCAGACCCACGGCCACCGGAUGAAGGACUGGAUGAAGCAGAUCCGCGACAUCACCUACGACAUCGAGGAUUGCAUCGACGACUCCGCACACCGCCUCCACGGCCUCCGCUCCGACAUGUGCUGCUACUACUUCGCCAACAGCGUCUACGAGGUCCUCACCUGGUGGCCUCGCCGCGACGUCGCCGCCAAGAUCUCCGUCCUCAAGAUGCGGGCUCAGCAGAUCGGCGAGCGGCGGGAGAGGUACGGCGUCAACAACCCGGAGGCCGCCGGCGGAUCUGAGGGUUCUCAUGCCGGAAACGGCACCGCUGCUGGAUUCGACGCCGCCGACAACCAGGAGGCGAGCCUUGAGCUCGUCGCCAUGAAGGAUCCGGUGGGCGUGGAGGACCACAUGAAAGAGCUGGAGGAGUGGCUGACCAACGACAAGAACAGCUCCGGCGUGCUGUAUGUUGUCGGGUUCGGAGGGGUGGGGAAGACCACCAUUGCGACCGCCCUGUACCGGAAAUUUGGGGACCAAUUCGACCACCGCGCCAUGGUCAACGUGUCUCAGAGCUCCGACAUCAACGCUGUCCUCACCAACAUCAAGAAUCAAGUCAUGCCGCAGUCCAGGGGCCAAAUGCAGCAAGCCGGCGGAGGCGUACUCGGCCGGCUCAAGCGAGGCACCUCAGCAUUGGCGGCCAAGUGCUGCAGCGCCGGCGCCUCAGAGGAAACGCGUGGUGAGACGAAGCUGGACCGGCUCAAGAAAGAGCUCACGGGACACUUUGACAACAGCAGUUACUUGGUCUUGGUUGAUGAUGUUUGGUCUGCAGCAACUUGGGGCCAGAUCAGAAAGUCACUUCCUACAAGUAAUAAGCGCACCAGAAUAAUAGUUACUACACGAUUUCAAGCUGUUGCUAAAACACGCAGAGGGGAAGAAGGUGAUCAUACUCGUAAAGUUUCCCCUCUUGGUGUUGAAGAAUCUGAGAGGCUAUUUAAGCAGGCAUUCUUUGAAUCCAAAGGUAGUGAGGCCUUCUUUGAAUCCAAAGGUAGCGAGGUUGAUAAGGUUCAAGAGGAAGUUUGGAAGAUGUGCGGGGGGCUGCCGUUGGCCAUAGUUAUCAUGGCUGGUCAUGUAGCCUGCAACCCAAACAAAUCAGCGGCCGAAUGGUUGAAGGUCUGCAAAUCUCUAUUUCCAGAGUCAGGGAAGGAUCAUGGGAAAGAUGGUAGGAGAGACCUUACCCAGGAGGAAGUUGGUAGGAUUGUUAGUCAUUGCUACAAUGACAUGCCUGCUGACAUCAAGACUUGCUCCCUGUAUUUGAGCAUAUUUCCAAAGGGCCAGAAAAUCAGCAGGAAGCGUUUGACAAGGCGAUGGAUAGCUGAAGCUUUCAUUGCUGAGAAGCAGGGCCUGAGUGUGGAGGACGUUGCAGAGACAUAUUUCAAUCAUCUCAUAAGAAGGAAGAUCAUCCGACCGGUGGAGCACAGCAGCAAUGGGAAGGUGAAGAAAUGCAUAGUGCACGACAUGGUCCUUGAACACAUUGUAGCCAAGGCAAGUGAGGAGAAUUUCAUCACUGUGAUUGGUGGUAACUGGCUUAUGCAGCUACCUAGCAGCAAGGUCCGCCGGCUGUCCCUCCAAGAAAGCGAUUCCAAACGUGCAAAUGAUACAGAGAAGAUGAACCUGUCACAUGUCCGGUCACUGACCAUGUUUGGGAGUUUGAACCAACUGCCUUCCCAUUCAUUCAAGUUUGGAAUUGUACAAGUCCUGGAUCUUGAAGGCUGCAUGGGUUUCAAAGCGCAUCAUACAGAGGAGAUAUGCAAGAUGCUUCUUCUCAAGUAUCUCAGCCUCCGAAGAAGUGACACUAAACAACUUCCAAAAUCGAUUGGAAAGCUUGAGAACCUUGAGACUCUCGACAUUAGAGAGACAAGUGUUGUUGAGUUGCCUAAAACCGUAUGCCAGCUUGAACGGCUGGUGAACAUACUUGGUGGGGAUAAAAUAACAAGAAGGGCAUUGAAGCUUCCUCAAGAGUUGAAUAAGAAGAAGAAAAUGAAGGCCUUGCGCAUACUGUCAGGGAUUGAGAUUGUUGGGGGAUUGGCGGACCUUCAUCAUUUGACUGAGCUGAGGAAGCUUGCCAUCUACAAGCUCAGCACCAUGAGUGACGAUCCAAGUUUCAAAGAUUUAAGCUCCUCUAUCGAGUACCUUGGGGGCUACUCUCUGAACACCCUCAUAAUUGAUGACGAGUCAUCCAAGUUUAUCAAUUCACUGGAUGACCUGUCAUCACCACCAAAGUUCCUUGUUGCCCUUGAGUUAUCUGGCAAGAUGGUUCAGCUCCCCAGCUGGAUCACACAACUCAGUGCUCUCACCAAGCUAACCCUUUCAGUAACAGCUCUCCGGACAGAUAACCUGCUGCUCCUUAGCAAUCUAGAUGCACUGUUCUCCCUCACAUUCUCAUUCAGGGCAGAAAAGCAGGAUUCGGAGACACUGACCAUUCUGGCAGAAAACAAGCUGUGCUCUGAUGGGGAGAUCACAAUCCCAAAUGCUGGUUUUAAGAGCCUUAAGCUUCUUCGCUUCUUUGCUCCUCUCUUGCCAGUACUGACCUUUUCGAAGAAUGCCAUGCCAGAGCUGGAGAGGCUUGAGCUACAGUUCAGCAUGCUGGAGGGGCUUUAUGGCGUGGAAAACCUUGCGGGAAUCAAGGUGGUGCAUCUGACAUUGAAGGACAAAGACGGUGAAUAUAUGACGAAAGAGGUGCAGCACGAGGUGGAGACAGCAGUGAAGAGGAGGACCGAUGGCAAGGUGCCCAAGAUAAUCCUCGAUCAGUGACCGAUUCAAAGCAAGUGCCCAGUUCUUUGCAAGUCUGCAAGUUUGAAGUCAUCAUAUAUUCACAUUCUUGCCUGUUCUCAGAUACUUUCACGCCACGUAUGCUGUACUCUCUCGAAGAAGGAAGGAUGAUACUGUGAAAAGAAGGAUGAUGCUUCAUCCAGGCAGGAGCAGUGGGAGGGAACAAAUUUGUAAAGCAGCACAGCAGUGGAAGGGAACAAAAAGUGGGAGCCCAACCGUGGUUCUUUGCAAGCCUGUAAGUUUGCAAUCAUCGCAUUAAUUCUUGCCUGUUCCUCAGAUAUUCUCAUGCUACAGCUGCUUUGCUCUCUCGAAGAAGGAAGGACGAUACUGUGAAAAGAAGGAUGACGUGUCAUCCAGGGACGUCGCAUGACAGUCGGAUUAAAUGUUUUAUUCGCGGCAGUUAUGCUAAAUGUCCUGCUCGUCGUGCUGGUAUGUGCGUGCGCUAGCUGCAGGUUUGAUCAUCAGUUAACAAGAUGUUGUGUAAUUCUCUUUGAUGCAGAUGCUGUAAAGUUGAUGCAAGACAGUGGUCAUGCAUUUAUGUGUGCUCGUCUCUGGACAUCUGGUACCAGAAAGUUGCAAACUGUUGAACAUGCUGUAAUGGAGAUGCAGAGAAUUCUUGUCCAUGGUUUCUGUAUUAUUAUUUUUUGUUGUAAAAAUUCAUCAUCCGGGCGCCUGACACUGCAAGGUCCAUGUAUUAUUACGUAUUAUGGUUUCUGUAUUAUUAUUAUUUUUGUUGUGAUGAAGGUC
This is an RNA transcript of Triticum dicoccoides, 3930 nucleotides long. It is a transcript of the gene named disease resistance protein Pik-2-like, with no coding region annotated. The transcript has 4 exons. The record is from RefSeq and is a predicted model, not a curated record. NCBI's taxonomy places the organism in Eukaryota, Viridiplantae, Streptophyta, Magnoliopsida, Poales, Poaceae.